GAUGGGUUGAGGAUUGGGACUAUAACAAUAUUGUUAUUUGCAACAGUUACGAUAUCCUUUAAAUCAUUCAAGAGGAUAAAGGUUCAGGAUUAUGGGGGGUCAAUAAAGAGGUGGUCCCUAAGAAGAAAAAUAUUAACGAUGCAGGAAGCCAACUUGCACCCCCAUUAGGAGAAUUGAUGAAGAUGCUCUUUAAUGCAUACAUGUUAUGACAUAUUUACUAUUUAUUCAAUUUACUCUGCAUUUUAAUUUUUAGAGAAUGUCUUUGCAAGAACUUUUUAACUAUUGCAGAGCUGCAA
Camellia sinensis is the source of this 296-nucleotide non-coding RNA. The record is from RefSeq and is a predicted model, not a curated record. Lineage: Eukaryota; Viridiplantae; Streptophyta; Magnoliopsida; Ericales; Theaceae.